This 253-nucleotide ribosomal RNA is filed under the name uncultured bacterium. Its description in RNAcentral is "partial 16S ribosomal RNA". It matches the Rfam family "Bacterial small subunit ribosomal RNA", at positions 524 to 776 of the family's 1533-position model. The record is from RNAcentral.
UACGUAGGGCGCAAGCGUUGUCCGGAGUUAUUGGGCGUAAAGAGCUCGUAGGCGGCUUGUCACGUCGGGUGUGAAAGCCCGGGGCUUAACCCCGGGUCUGCAUUCGAUACGGGCAGGCUAGAGUGUGGUAGGGGAGAUCGGAAUUCCUGGUGUAGCGGUGAAAUGCGCAGAUAUCAGGAGGAACACCGGUGGCGAAGGCGGAUCUCUGGGCCAUUACUGACGCUGAGGAGCGAAAGCGUGGGGAGCGAACAGG